CUUGAUACUUGUUCAAAUAUGUUAACAUGAAACCUUUCAUGCAAUAUAUUAACUUCACUCUUGUAAGUCUGCUCUAGAAUCAAUAUUAAGCAGACGUUGCAGCUGUGGUCAUUCAGUUUAUGUUAGAAUUUGCUUUUUCUUAUGGCAUGGUGAUAGGAUACUUGUUCAAAUAUGUUAACAUGAAACCUUUCAUGCAAUAUAUUAACUUCACUGUUGUAAGUCUGCUCUAGAAUCAAUAUUAAGCACACGUUGCAGCUGUGGUCAUUCAGUUUAUGUUAGAAUUUGCUUUUACUUGAUACUUGUUCAAAUAUGUUAACAUGAAACCUUUCAUGCAAUAUAUUAACUUCACUCUUGUAAGUCUCCUCUAGAAUCAAUAUUAAGCAGACGUUGCAGCUGUGGUCAUUCAGUUUAUGUUAGAAUUUGCUUUUACUUGAUACUUGUUCAAAUAUGUUAACAUGAGACUUUUCGUGUAAUAUAUUAACUUCACUCUUGUAAGUCUGCUCUAGAAUCAAUAUUAAGCAGAAGUUGUAGUGACUGUGGCAGUUAUCUUUGUUAGAAUUUGCCUUGACUAUGGCAUGGUGACAGGAUACUUGUUCAGAUAUGCUACAAGAAACUUCUUAGUUCACUCUAUCUAUUAACUUCACUAUUCUGAACUGUCCCAUAAUCAAUAUGGAUUUGAUCAAGUAGAUGAGCAGAACAUUGCAGUGAGUGUUGCAGUUAUCAUGCUCAUGUCGUCUAAAUGUGAUAUUUCCUUU
Molecule: long non-coding RNA, 755 nt
Filed under: Musa acuminata (dwarf banana)
Lineage: Eukaryota; Viridiplantae; Streptophyta; Magnoliopsida; Zingiberales; Musaceae
Description: long non-coding RNA (MACU_LNC007107)
Source: RNAcentral